UACAGAGACUGCAAGCGUUAUUCGGCUUCACUGGGCGUAAUGGGUGCGCAGGCGGCCGUGUGUGUGAGGCGUGAAAGCCCGGGGCUUAACCCCGGAAUUGCACCUCAAACUACAUGGCUAGAGCAUUGGAGAGGGUAGCAGAAUUCAUGGUGUAGCAGUGAAAUGCGUAGAUAUCAUGAGGAAUACCAGAGGCGAAGGCGGCUACCUGGACAAUUGCUGACGCUCAGGCACGAAAGCGUGGGGAGCAAAAGGG
Molecule: ribosomal RNA, 253 nt
Filed under: uncultured bacterium
Lineage: Bacteria
Description: partial 16S ribosomal RNA
Rfam family: Bacterial small subunit ribosomal RNA
Source: RNAcentral